Molecule: ribosomal RNA, 783 nt
Filed under: Clostridium sp. AG07-8
Lineage: Bacteria; Bacillati; Bacillota; Clostridia; Eubacteriales; Clostridiaceae
Description: bacterial SSU rRNA
Rfam family: Bacterial small subunit ribosomal RNA
Source: RNAcentral
CCUGGCGGCGUGCCUACACAUGCAAGUCGAGCGAACCUUCGGGGUGAGCGGCGGACGGGUGAGUAACGCGUGGGUAACCUGCCCUGUACACACGGAUAACAUACCGAAAGGUAUGCUAAUACGGGAUAAAAUAUGAGAGUCGCAUGGCUUUUGUAUCAAAGCUCCGGCGGUACAGGAUGGACCCGCGUCUGAUUAGCUAGUUGGUAAGGUAACGGCUUACCAAGGCAACGAUCAGUAGCCGACCUGAGAGGGUGAUCGGCCACAUUGGAACUGAGACACGGUCCAAACUCCUACGGGAGGCAGCAGUGGGGAAUAUUGCACAAUGGGCGAAAGCCUGAUGCAGCAACGCCGCGUGAGCGAUGAAGGCCUUCGGGUCGUAAAGCUCUGUCCUCAAGGAAGAUAAUGACGGUACUUGAGGAGGAAGCCCCGGCUAACUACGUGCCAGCAGCCGCGGUAAUACGUAGGGGGCUAGCGUUAUCCGGAAUUACUGGGCGUAAAGGGUGCGUAGGCGGUCUUUCAAGCCAGAAGUGAAAGGCUACGGCUCAACCGUAGUAAGCUUUUGGAACUGUAGGACUUGAGUGCAGGAGAGGAGAGUGGAAUUCCUAGUGUAGCGGUGAAAUGCGUAGAUAUUAGGAGGAACACCAGUAGCGAAGGCGGCUCUCUGGACUGUAACUGACGCUGAGGCACGAAAGCGUGGGGAGCAAACAGGAUUAGAUACCCUGGUAGUCCACGCCGUAAACGAUGAGUACUAGGUUGUCGGGGGGUUACCCCCUCGGUGCCGCA